This 300-nucleotide ribosomal RNA is filed under the name uncultured Winogradskyella sp. Its description in RNAcentral is "bacterial SSU rRNA". It matches the Rfam family "Bacterial small subunit ribosomal RNA", at positions 114 to 414 of the family's 1533-position model. Lineage: Bacteria; Pseudomonadati; Bacteroidota; Flavobacteriia; Flavobacteriales; Flavobacteriaceae. The record is from RNAcentral.
CGCGUAUACAAUCUACCUUUUACAGGGGGAUAGCCUUUAGAAAUGAAGAAUAAUACCCCAUAGUAAGUAUUUUUCGCAUGGAAAAUACUUUAAAGAUUUAUCGGUAAAAGAUGAGUAUGCGUUCUAUUAGCUAGAUGGUAAGGUAACGGCUUACCAUGGCAACGAUAGAUAGGGGCCCUGAGAGGGGGAUCCCCCACACUGGUACUGAGACACGGACCAGACUCCUACGGGAGGCAGCAGUGAGGAAUAUUGGACAAUGGAGGCAACUCUGAUCCAGCCAUGCCGCGUGCAGGAAGACUG